UUUCCCCGGGGUCCGGGGACGGAGGUCGAGGUGGUGCAUGGUUGUCGUCAGCUCGUGUCGUGAGAUGUUGGGUUAAGUCCCGCAACGAGCGCAACCCUCGACCUUAGUUGCCAGCAUUCAGUUGGGCACUCUAAGGUGACUGCCGGCUAAAAGUCGGAGGAAGGUGGGGAUGACGUCAAAUCAUCAUGCCCCUUAUGACCUGGGCUACACACGUGCUACAAUGGGCGGUACAAAGGGUCGCGAACCCGCGAGGGGGAGCCAAUCCCAAAAAGCCGCUCUCAGUUCGGAUUGCAGGCUGCAACUCGCCUGCAUGAAGCCGGAAUCGCUAGUAAUCGCGGAUCAGCAUGCCGCGGUGAAUACGUUCCCGGGCCUU
RNAcentral lists this ribosomal RNA (373 nucleotides) under uncultured Anoxybacillus sp. RNAcentral describes it as "bacterial SSU rRNA". It matches the Rfam family "Bacterial small subunit ribosomal RNA", at positions 1013 to 1382 of the family's 1533-position model. Lineage: Bacteria; Bacillati; Bacillota; Bacilli; Caryophanales; Anoxybacillaceae. The record is from RNAcentral.